RNAcentral lists this ribosomal RNA (506 nucleotides) under uncultured bacterium. RNAcentral describes it as "partial 16S ribosomal RNA". It matches the Rfam family "Bacterial small subunit ribosomal RNA", at positions 29 to 523 of the family's 1533-position model. The record is from RNAcentral.
AGUGAACGCUGGCGGUAGGCCUAACACAUGCAAGUCGAACGGCAGCACAGGAGAGCUUGCUCUCUGGGUGGCGAGUGGCGGACGGGUGAGGAAUACAUCGGAAUCUACUCUGUCGUGAGGGAUAACGUAGGGAAACUUACGCUAAUACCGCAUACGACCUACGGGUGAAAUCAGGGGAUCUUCGGACCUUGCGCGAUUGAAUGAGCCGAUGUCGGAUUAGCUAGUUGGCGGGGUAAAGGCCCACCAAGGCGACGAACCGUAGCUGGUCUGAGAGGAUGAUCAGCCACACUGGAACUGAGACACGGUCCAGACUCCUACGGGAGGCAGCAGUGGGGAAUAUUGGACAAUGGGCGCAAGCCUGAUCCAGCCAUACCGCGUGGGUGAAGAAGGCCUUCGGGUUGUAAAGCCCUUUUGUUGGGAAAGAAAUCCAGCUGGCUAAUACCCGGUUGGGAUGACGGUACCCAAAGAAUAAGCACCGGCUAACUUCGUGCCAGCCGCCGCCGUAA